Molecule: ribosomal RNA, 253 nt
Filed under: uncultured bacterium
Lineage: Bacteria
Description: partial 16S ribosomal RNA
Rfam family: Bacterial small subunit ribosomal RNA
Source: RNAcentral
UACAGAGGUGGCAAGCGUUGUUCGGAAUUACUGGGCGUAAAGGGCGCGUAGGCGGCCAUCUAAGUCAGACGUGAAAUCCCCCGGCUUAACCUGGGAACUGCGUCUGAUACUGGAAGGCUUGAGUAUGGGAGAGGGAUGUAGAAUUCCAGGUGUAGCGGUGAAAUGCGUAGAUAUCUGGAGGAAUACCGGUGGCGAAGGCGGCAGCCUGGACCAUUACUGACGCUGAGGCGCGAAAGCUAGGGGAGCAAACGGG